GUUCUGGUAGCUUAAAUCAUUAAAGCCCUGGCUUUGUAAACCAAAGACGAGAUGUGCUCUCCCAGAACA
RNAcentral lists this transfer RNA (69 nucleotides) under Eremias brenchleyi. RNAcentral describes it as "tRNA-Thr". It matches the Rfam family "tRNA". From Rfam's summary of the family: Transfer RNA (tRNA) molecules are approximately 80 nucleotides in length. Their secondary structure includes four short double-helical elements and three loops (D, anti-codon, and T loops). The record is from RNAcentral. Lineage: Eukaryota; Metazoa; Chordata; Lepidosauria; Squamata; Lacertidae.